UGGCUCGAGGACGAACGCUGGCGGCGUGCUUCAUACAUGCAAGUCGAACGAUAAGGCACCUUCGGGUGUACAUAAGUGGCGGACGGGUGAGUAAUAUGUAGAGAAUCUGCCCUAGAGAGUGGGACAACAGUUGGAAACGACUGCUAAUACCGCAUAUGAGCGUACCUGAAAUGGUAUUCUUGAAAACUCCGGUGCUCUGGGAUGAGUCUGCAUCUGAUUAGCUAGUUGGGGGUGUAAUGGACCACCAAGGCGACGAUCAGUAGCUGGUUUGAGAGGAUGAUCAGCCACAAUGGGACUGAGACACGGCCCAUACUCCUACGGGAGGCAGCAGUAGGGAAUUUUGCGCAAUGGGGGAAACCCUGACGCCAGCAACGCCGCGUGACCGAUGAAGCCCUUCGGGGUGUAAAGGUCUGUCAGUGGGGACGAAUAUUGACGGUACCCACAGAGGAAGCAUCGGCUAACUCCGUGCCAGCCGCUGC
Molecule: ribosomal RNA, 479 nt
Filed under: uncultured bacterium
Lineage: Bacteria
Description: bacterial SSU rRNA
Rfam family: Bacterial small subunit ribosomal RNA
Source: RNAcentral